GGGAUGAGCUUGCGUCCGAUUAGCUAGUUGGCGGGGCAACGGCCCACCAAGGCGACGAUCGGUAGCCGGCCUGAGAGGGCGAUCGGCCACAUUGGGACUGAGAUACGGCCCAGACUCCUACGGGAGGCAGCAGUAGGGAAUAUUGCACAAUGGGGGGAACCCUGAUGCAGCAACGCCACGUGUGGGAAGAAGCAUUUCGGUGUGUAAACCACUGUCGUGAGGGAAUAAGGCUUAUUUUCGGAUAAGUUGAAUGUACUUUGAAAGGAAGCACCGGCAAACUUCGUGCCAGCAGCCGCGGUAAUACGAGGGGUGCAAGCGUUGUUCGGAAUCACUGGGCGUAAAGGGAGCGCAGGCGGAGAUGCAAGCGGACUGUACAAUCCCGGGGCCCAACCCCGGACCUGCAGUCCGGACUGCACCUCUUGGAUAGUUCAGGGGCAAGCGGAAUUCCUGGUGUAGCGGUGGAAUGCGUAGAGAUCAGGAAGAACACCGAUGGCGAAGGCAGCUUGCUGGGGACUUAUCGACGCUCAUGCUCGAAAGUGCGGGUAGCAAACAGGAUUAGAUACCCUGGUAGUCC
RNAcentral lists this ribosomal RNA (574 nucleotides) under uncultured bacterium. RNAcentral describes it as "bacterial SSU rRNA". It matches the Rfam family "Bacterial small subunit ribosomal RNA", at positions 222 to 796 of the family's 1533-position model. The record is from RNAcentral.